This 253-nucleotide ribosomal RNA is filed under the name uncultured bacterium. RNAcentral's name for it is "partial 16S ribosomal RNA". It matches the Rfam family "Bacterial small subunit ribosomal RNA", at positions 524 to 776 of the family's 1533-position model. The record is from RNAcentral.
UACAGAGGCCCCGAGCGUUACUGAGAAUCACUGGGUUUAAAGGGCGCGUAGGUGGCGCGUUAAGUCCGUUGUGAAAUCCCUUGGCUCAACCAAGGAAAUGCUUCGGAUACUGGCGUGCUUGAGGCUAGUAGGGGUCACUGGAACUGACGGUGGAGCGGUGAAAUGCGUAGAUAUCGUCAGGAACGCCGAUGGUGAAGACAGGUGACUGGGCUAGUUCUGACACUGAGGCACGAAAGCGUGGGGAGCGAACGGG